CUUUAGGAAAAUGUCAUUUCCUUCCUUAUCUCUUUUAAUCAUAUCAAAUUCUACUUUGGCUUUGUCUGGUAUCAUGAAUGCUUCUCCUACUUUUUUUACUCUAGAUGAUGCAUACUAAAUUCUGCUACAGCCUUUUACCUUGAAUCUGUAUGUACCACCCUUCCUCAAAUGAGUUUCUAGUAAACAACAUAUGGUGUGAUAGAGGCUGGCACUAGAGAAAAAGUGCCAGGCUGAAGAGUAUGUGAAAUUGAUCACCUCAAAGGGGGAGUGACCCCAGGAGUGGAAUCCAGAGGAGGAGAAGACUCUGGCUGGGAGAGCAGUGAGGGUUUCUCUCGGUCUUGAGAAGCCAGAGAGAGAAGUUGGAAAAAAGACUAUCUCCUGAGGGUUAUCCAUCUUUCCUGCUGGUGACUGGAAAUCUUUUCCCCCAACACUUCUCAGUUGAAAGUACUUCUGAAGAGAAACCUGAGCAGACUUUACCUCAGCUCCUGUUGCCUAGAGAGAAAGUACAUAUCAUAAAGAAUAACAUAGACUACAGGAAUAAUGAGACAGGUGGCUUUAUUUUACCAGAAGAGCAGAAGGUAACAGAAAUUUACCGGAUGGUCACUCUAUUUAUCUGA
This 617-nucleotide long non-coding RNA is filed under the name Monodelphis domestica (gray short-tailed opossum). Its description in RNAcentral is "lncRNA (ENSMODG00000050295.1)". The record is from RNAcentral. Lineage: Eukaryota; Metazoa; Chordata; Mammalia; Didelphimorphia; Didelphidae.